Molecule: non-coding RNA, 72 nt
Organism: Parelaphostrongylus tenuis
Lineage: Eukaryota; Metazoa; Nematoda; Chromadorea; Rhabditida; Metastrongylidae
Source: the annotation of a GenBank genome assembly
GGCACUGGUGGUGUAGUGGUAGCAUGCGCUCCAUGUAUGGGUGAAGCUCGGGUUCAAUUCCCGCUGAGGCCG